UUGAACGCUGGCGGCAGGCCUCACACAUGCAAGUCGAACGGUAACAGGAAGAAGCUUGCUUCUUUGCUGACGAGUGGCGGACGGGUGAGUAAUGUCUGGGAAACUGCCUGAUGGAGGGGGAUAACUACUGGAAACGGUAGCUAAUACCGCAUAACGUCGCAAGACCAAAGAGGGGGACCUUCGGGCCUCUUGCCAUCGGAUGUGCCCAGAUGGGAUUAGCUAGUAGGUGGGGUAACGGCUCACCUAGGCGACGAUCCCUAGCUGGUCUGAGAGGAUGACCAGCCACACUGGAACUGAGACACGGUCCAGACUCCUACGGGAGGCAGCAGUGGGGAAUAUUGCACAAUGGGCGCAAGCCUGAUGCAGCCAUGCCGCGUGUAUGAAGAAGGCCUUCGGGUUGUAAAGUACUUUCAGCGGGGAGGAAGGGAGUAAAGUUAAUACCUUUGCUCAUUGACGUUACCCGCAGAAGAAGCACCGGCUAACUCCGUG
This 489-nucleotide ribosomal RNA is filed under the name uncultured bacterium. RNAcentral's name for it is "partial 16S ribosomal RNA". It matches the Rfam family "Bacterial small subunit ribosomal RNA", at positions 30 to 507 of the family's 1533-position model. The record is from RNAcentral.